GGAGAUCUGGUCUAGUGGUAGGGCACAGGCACCUCAAUUCGUUAGAGGUGGGCAAUUCAUUAGCCCAUGUUUCAUUCCUUGAUUAAUAGGCAUGUCCUGGAUGUCAGUUCGAUUCUGACGGUCUCCA
This is a non-coding RNA of Pseudocercospora fijiensis CIRAD86, 127 nucleotides long. The record is from the annotation of a RefSeq genome assembly. NCBI's taxonomy places the organism in Eukaryota, Fungi, Ascomycota, Dothideomycetes, Mycosphaerellales, Mycosphaerellaceae.